UUUUAAUGUUAAUAUUCAUCUUACAUACAUACAUAGGCUAUCUUUAAGUUUGUUUGUUGUUUUGCAGACCAUCUAUUCAGAGCACGACCUGCAUUUUUCACUGCAGCUGAACACCUGGUUUUGGAUUUUCUCCUAGCAACAGUUCUUCUGAAUUGUUCUUUCCACCCAUCAACCUCAACCUACCAACCCCCCCCCCC
Molecule: long non-coding RNA, 197 nt
Organism: Carassius auratus (goldfish)
Lineage: Eukaryota; Metazoa; Chordata; Actinopteri; Cypriniformes; Cyprinidae
Exons: 2
Source: RefSeq, a predicted model, not a curated record